Bos grunniens (domestic yak) is the source of this 300-nucleotide unclassified non-coding RNA. It matches the Rfam family "Metazoan signal recognition particle RNA". Rfam says of the family: The signal recognition particle (SRP) is a universally conserved ribonucleoprotein. It is involved in the co-translational targeting of proteins to membranes. The record is from Ensembl. NCBI's taxonomy places the organism in Eukaryota, Metazoa, Chordata, Mammalia, Artiodactyla, Bovidae.
GCCGGGCGCGGUGGCGGGCGCCUGUAGUCCCAGCUACUCGGGAGGCUGAGGCUGGAGGAUCGCUUGAGCUCAGGAGUUCUGGGCUGCAGUGCGCUAUGCCGAUCGGGUGUCCGCACUAAGUUCGGCAUCAAUAUGGUGACCUCCCGGGAGCGGGGGACCACCAGGUUGCCUAAGGAGGGGUGAACCGGCCCAGGUCGGAAACGCAGCAGGUCAAAACUCCCGUGCUGAUCAGUAGUGGGAUCGCGCCUGUGAAUAGCCACUGUACUCCAGCCUGGGCAACAUAGCGAGACCCCGUCUCUU